GAUGAACGCUGGCGGCGUGCCUAAUACAUGCAAGUAGAACGCUGAAGGAGGAGCUUGCUCUUCUGGAUGAGUUGCGAACGGGUGAGUAACGCGUAGGUAACCUGCCUGGUAGCGGGGGAUAACUAUUGGAAACGAUAGCUAAUACCGCAUGACAACAGUUAUUGCAUGAUAACUGUUUAAAAGGGGCAACUGCUCCACUACCAGAUGGACCUGCGUUGUAUUAGCUAGUUGGUGAGGUAACGGCUCACCAAGGCGACGAUACAUAGCCGACCUGAGAGGGUGAUCGGCCACACUGGGACUGAGACACGGCCCAGACUCCUACGGGAGGCAGCAGUAGGGAAUCUUCGGCAAUGGACGGAAGUCUGACCGAGCAACGCCGCGUGAGUGAAGAAGGUUUUCGGAUCGUAAAGCUCUGUUGUAAGAGAAGAACGAGUGUGAGAGUGGAAAGUUCACACUGUGACGGUAUCUUACCAGAAAGGGACGGCUAACUACG
This 493-nucleotide ribosomal RNA is filed under the name uncultured bacterium. Its description in RNAcentral is "partial 16S ribosomal RNA". It matches the Rfam family "Bacterial small subunit ribosomal RNA", at positions 28 to 505 of the family's 1533-position model. The record is from RNAcentral.